AACAUUUCCUUUAGAAGAUAUUUAAAGGUAAUACCUGCCCUAUGUUAUAUAAAUGGCUGCGGUAUCUUAACUGCACUAAGGUAGCAUAAUUAAUUGUCUUUUAAUUGGUGACUUGUUUGAAUGGUUUUAUGAGAGAACUGUUUUCUUUUGAUUAAAAUGAAUUUAUAUUUUAAGGUCAAAAUACCUAAUUAAAAAAGAAAGACGAGAAGACCCUGUUGAGUUUUACGUGUAGUUUACGUUUAAAUGGGAAAUUUGGUUUCUUUUUGUAACCUUAUAGAUCCUUAACUUUUGUUUGGAAAAAGGAUAAAAUUACCACAGGGAUAACAGGACAAUAUUAACUAAGAGUUCUAAUCGAAGUUAAUGUUUGUUACCUCGAUGUUGAAUCGAAAUGGCUUCUUGGUGCAGCAAUUAAGUAAGCAGGUCUGUUCGACCUUUGCAAUUUCACGUGAUUU
RNAcentral lists this ribosomal RNA (452 nucleotides) under Neostylochus sp. n. JR-2020. RNAcentral's name for it is "partial large subunit ribosomal RNA". It matches the Rfam family "Bacterial large subunit ribosomal RNA", at positions 1812 to 2606 of the family's 2925-position model. The record is from RNAcentral. Lineage: Eukaryota; Metazoa; Platyhelminthes; Polycladida; Callioplanidae.